GACGAACGCUGGCGGCGUGCUUAACACAUGCAAGUCGAACGGAAAGGCCCUGCUUUUGUGGGGUGCUCGAGUGGCGAACGGGUGAGUAACACGUGAGUAACCUGCCCUUGACUUUGGGAUAACUUCAGGAAACUGGGGCUAAUACCGGAUAGGAGCUCCUGCUGCAUGGUGGGGGUUGGAAAGUUUCGGCGGUUGGGGAUGGACUCGCGGCUUAUCAGCUUGUUGGUGGGGUAGUGGCUUACCAAGGCUUUGACGGGUAGCCGGCCUGAGAGGGUGACCGGCCACAUUGGGACUGAGAUACGGCCCAGACUCCUACGGGAGGCAGCAGUGGGGAAUAUUGCACAAUGGGCGGAAGCCUGAUGCAGCAACGCCGCGUGCGGGAUGACGGCCUUCGGGUUGUAAACCGCUUUCGCCUGUGACGAAGCGUGAGUGACGGUAAUGGGUAAAGAAGCACCGGCUAACUACGUGCCAGCAGCCGCGGUGAUACGUAGGGUGCGAGCGUUGUCCGGAUUUAUUGGGCGUAAAGGGCUCGUAGGUGGUUGAUCGCGUCGGAAGUGUAAUCUUGGGGCUUAACCCUGAGCGUGCUUUCGAUACGGGUUGACUUGAGGAAGGUAGGGGAGAAUGGAAUUCCCUGGUGGGGCGGUGGAAUGCGCAGAUAUCAGGAGGAACACCAGUGGCGAAGGCGGUUCUCUGGGCCUUUCCUGACGCUGAGGAGCGAAAGCGUGGGGAGCGAACAGGCUUAGAUACCCUGGUAGUCCACGCUGUAAACGGUGGGUACUAGGUGUGGGGUCCAUUCCACGGGUUCCGUGCCGUAGCUAACGCUUUAAGUACCCCGCCUGGGGAGUACGGCCGCAAGGCUAAAACUCAAAGGAAUUGACGGGGCCCCGCACAAGCGGCGGAGCAUGCGGAUUAAUUCGAUGCAACGCGUAGAACCUUACCUGGGUUUGACAUGGAUCGGGAGUGCUCAGAGAUGGGUGUGCCUCUUUUGGGGUCGGUUCACAGGUGGUGCAUGGCUGUCGUCAGCUCGUGUCGUGAGAUGUUGGGUUAAGUCCCGCAACGAGCGCAACCCUUGUUCACUGUUGCCAGCACGUUAUGGUGGGGACUCAGUGGAGACCGCCGGGGUCAACUCGGAGGAAGGUGGGGAUGACGUCAAGUCAUCAUGCCCCUUAUGUCCAGGGCUUCACGCAUGCUACAAUGGCUGGUACAGAGAGUGGCGAGCCUGUAAGGGUGAGCGAAUCUCGGAAAGCCGGUCUCAGUUCGGAUUGGGGUCUGCAACUCGACCUCAUGAAGUCGGAGUCGCUAAUAAUCGCAGAUCAGCAACGCUGCGGUGAAUAAGUUCCCGGG
Molecule: ribosomal RNA, 1344 nt
Filed under: uncultured bacterium
Lineage: Bacteria
Description: 16S ribosomal RNA
Rfam family: Bacterial small subunit ribosomal RNA
Source: RNAcentral